GAGUUUGAUCUUGGCUCAGAUUGAACGCUGGCGGCAUGCCUUACACAUGCAAGUCGAACGGCAGCACGGGAGCUUGCUCCUGGUGGCGAGUGGCGAACGGGUGAGUAAUGCAUCGGAACGUAUCCUGGAGUGGGGGAUAACGUAGCGGAAGUUACGCUAAUACCGCAUAUUCUGUGAGCAGGAAAGCGGGGGACCUUCGGGCCUCGCGCUCUUGGAGCGGCCGAUGUCGGAUUAGCUAGUUGGUGAGGUAAAGGCUCACCAAGGCGACGAUCCGUAGCAGGUCUGAGAGGAUGAUCUGCCACACUGGAACUGAGACACGGUCCAGACUCCUACGGGAGGCAGCAGUGGGAAUUUUGGCCAAUGGGGGCAACCCUGAUCCAGCCAUGCCGCGUGAGUGAAGAAGGCC
Molecule: ribosomal RNA, 406 nt
Filed under: bacterium enrichment culture clone ALO1_GLFRUDD03F5K14
Lineage: Bacteria
Description: bacterial SSU rRNA
Rfam family: Bacterial small subunit ribosomal RNA
Source: RNAcentral